RNAcentral lists this ribosomal RNA (253 nucleotides) under uncultured bacterium. RNAcentral describes it as "partial 16S ribosomal RNA". It matches the Rfam family "Bacterial small subunit ribosomal RNA", at positions 524 to 776 of the family's 1533-position model. The record is from RNAcentral.
UACAGAGGUCUCAAGCGUUGUUCGGAUUCAUUGGGCGUAAAGGGUGCGUAGGUGGCGGGGUAAGUCAGGUGUGAAAUCUCGAGGCUCAACCUCGAAACUGCACUUGAUACUGCCUUGCUAGAGUACUGGAGAGGAGAUUGGAAUUUACGGUGUAGCAGUGAAAUGCGUAGAUAUCGUAAGGAAGACCAGUGGCGAAGGCGGGUCUCUGGACAGUUCCUGACACUGAGGCACGAAGGCCAGGGGAGCAAACGGG